Molecule: long non-coding RNA, 2863 nt
Organism: Equus quagga
Lineage: Eukaryota; Metazoa; Chordata; Mammalia; Perissodactyla; Equidae
Exons: 3
Source: RefSeq, a predicted model, not a curated record
UUUUAAGCAUUAUGUUGUAGGUACUUCAUGUGCUAUUACAGAAGAUUUAUUACCAUUAAAAAACUACUUCUUCAAAUGAGAAAACUGACAGCUGAGAGUUUGAAGAAAUCUGCCAAUUUUACAAGUGAAUAAAUGUUAGCGCUCACAUUCAAACUCAGAACUUUAGGAUUCCUUGGAAAUCCUUCAACAUGCUCCUUAGGGAUGACGGAUACCUACUGGGUGGAGUCCUCUCCUUCUUGAGACAACUUUUCAACCAGAGUAGCGAUUGUAGAUGAAUUCCUAACCCCUGGUACCUGUGAAUGUGACUUUAUUUGGAAAUAGGAUCUUUGCAGAUGUAAUCAAGUUAAAAUGAGUGUCGGCCCUAAUCCAAUAACUGAUAUCCAUAUAAGAAGAGGGAUAUUUGGACUUAGACACAGAGGAGACACAGUGGGGAGAACACCAUGUGAAGAUGGAGACAGAAAUUGAAGUGAUGGAUCUAAAAGCCAAGGAAUACCAAAGAGGAAUGGCAAACACGAGAAGCUAAGAGAGAAGCAUGGAACAGAUUCUUACUCAGGGCCUCCAGAAGGAACCAACCUACUGACACCUGGAUUUCAGAAUUCUAGUCUCCAGAACUGUGAGAGAAUAAAUUUAUACCAUUUUAAGUGACUCGGUUUGUGGCAUUUUGUUAUGGCAGUCCUAGAAAACUAAAACAGUAGCUUUCCUUUGAUUUGUCUUAUGUCUGCAUAACAUGACACUUGCAGGAAGAAUUGACUUAUUUGUGAAAUGUUUAGAAACCGUGACUCUCUUCCAUUGAUGGCGGUGGUAGGUGAGGAAAAGCAGUGGGGCUCUUUGCCUCUGAAUAAAACUCUUUUGUUAGAGUAGCAGUAUGUUCUAAGUAUUUUACAGUAUUUCUAGUAAUGUGUUUUUUCAUUUGAUAAAUUUUAAUUACUGUUCCCUGUCCUCGCUUCCAUGGUCCAUUCUCUGUACAGCUGGGACAAAUUACAAUUUCAAUGAUACUACGUUAUACUGUGCUCAAAACCACUCACCUUCACAGACACCCUAGCUAAUGGACCAAGGAAGUGCUUUGACUCUCCUUUCUUUCAAAUGAGUUCCUUUCCAGAAUAGUAUACUGCCUGGGAAGCUAAGCAGGAGCCAUUAUUCCCAGACUGUUCUGGGGCCACUCAUCAAUCCCAAAAGGCCCAGCCAUGUUUUUUACUACAAGGUGCAUGAAGUUCUUAUGGAAAUAAAACCAGUAGGCCCACCUUCCACUCCUGCCCCUUAAGGCAUGCCUUGAAUAUGUUUUUUCACAUAUUACUAGAAAUCACUGGAAAAAAAUUUAGGUAGUAUGCAAAAUUUUGUUUUAGACACCAUGAAUAAAGAUAAGUUGCUGUUUCGUUUGUAAGGAAAAAGCAGGCAGCAUUAUUGUAUAAUCUUAUUUAAGGGCAGUGUAUCAUUUCCAAAUCCAGGAAGUCAUAGUUUCCUACUGGUACUGGCUAAAAAGCAGUAGUUGAAUGGAUUAGUAGAGCUAAUUAGAUCCAUUUAAAAUUAUUGUUUUUACUCUUUUCAAUUAAGAGUAUAUUUAUUUUCUUAGUAAUAUUUCAACACAGCAAUUAUAGUUUAAAUAAACAAGUGAAAGAAUGCAGACACUUAUUCAAAAGAGAUGCUCAUAACAUUGUUUUAAAUUCUUAAAAUUUAUAGCUGUGUUCAGUGAAUUCCAGUGGGAUUUAGUGAGUUUAUUUCCUUUUUGGUUUUAAUUAGGAAACCCUACUGGAAUUGUGGAUAGCUGUACAAGCUAGAGGAAUGGGUAUGUUUUACUUGAUUAUAUUGGAUGUUAGUGAUUUUUUCUUUAAUAAAAUUUCAGUGAUGUUAUGGUAUUAGUUGAGGUUUCUUUUUUUCUUAAGAAUGGUAGAAAUGAAACCAAAUAUUUACUUAAAGACAUUUUGAAUGUUGCAAAAGUAUGUGCUUAUUGAGAAAGUUGAGUUUUCUCUAAGAAAAAACCUCUAACUUCUAUGUUUUGACUGCAUAUCAGUUUGAGAUUGGGGCCUUGUGAAACUCCAACUAAACAAAAUAAGUAUUCAGAAAAACAUUCUUUUAUUUGUGGUGGUGAGCAGAGGCAAGACAGAGGGGAAAGGGCUUGGAAUAGAUGAACAAUUUGCUUAGAUUUUCUAGAAGGGCCACUUAGAAACUGUUAGGAGCAUGGACUCAGCCACGAAACUUAGGAUCCUCAGUGAUUCAUGGUCAUUUUGGGGUUUCAACAGAAACUUUGUUCCUGCAUAAUUGUUGCUCUCUGACUGUGUAUAUAUAUAUUUAUAUAAAAUUGGUAUAUAAUAAUUAUUAUACGUAAUACAUAUAUUAGCUCUGCAGCUUCCCAAAAGAUGGCAGUUGACAUCCUAUGUCUUGCCUCCUUCAUCCUGAAUCCCACACUGAUUGCCCUAAGCACAGUACCUCAUGAACUUUCUCCUCUUGAAUUCUCACAUUUCUGUCCUACUUGGACCUACUUUUACCAGAGUUGACUGACGACUUCCUUUGCUUACCCCCACCCUGUCCUCACUAUUAGCCCUUAUGCAUGCCAGGUCUUUAGGCCACAAUUCCAUUAUAAAAAGCUCUCGUAGAUAUUGACUUUUCCCUUCUCCUCUUUCAUUUCAUUGACUUAACCUAAAUGUAGAUCAUUAGAUUCUGGAGGAAAAAGGGAUCUUAAGGAUCAAUUUACCUCACUUGAUGAAGGCUAUAUAGCAUUUCGAAGUUACACAGCUGUACAGGAACACUGCUAGAAGUACUUGUACUACAUAUUCCUCUCACAUUUGUUAAUAUAAUCAUUUAUAAUAAUACUUUAUAUCUUAGAUUAUUAAGGCAUAAGAUAAUAGUAGAAAUAAAUCUGAUAGUG